CUCAGAUUGAACGCUGGCGGCAGGCCUAACACAUGCAAGUCGAGCGGUAACAGAGAGUAGCUUGCUACUUUGCUGACGAGCGGCGGACGGGUGAGUAAUGCUUGGGAACAUGCCUUGAGGUGGGGGACAACAGUUGGAAACGACUGCUAAUACCGCAUAAUGCCUACGGGCCAAAGAGGGGGAUCUUCGGACCUCUCGCGUCAAGAUAUGCCUAGGUGGGAUUAGCUAGUUGGUGAGGUAAUGGCUCACCAAGGCGACGAUCCCUAGCUGGUCUGAGAGGAUGAUCAGCCACACUGGAACUGAGACACGGUCCAGACUCCUACGGGAGGCAGCAGUGGGGAAUAUUGCACAAUGGGCGAAAGCCUGAUGCAGCCAUGCCGCGUGUAUGAAGAAGGCCUUCGGGUUGUAAAGUACUUUCAGUUGUGAGGAAGGGGUAACGUUAAGUAGCGUUAUCUCUUGACGUUAGCAACAGAAAU
This 476-nucleotide ribosomal RNA is filed under the name uncultured bacterium. Its description in RNAcentral is "bacterial SSU rRNA". It matches the Rfam family "Bacterial small subunit ribosomal RNA", at positions 23 to 488 of the family's 1533-position model. The record is from RNAcentral.